AUUCUACUCCCUUUAUCCAACAAAAGAUGUCUCAACUUUGACCAAAUGUGAAUGCAUCUAUAUAUUAAAUCAUGUCUAGAUACAUUCAAAUCUUGACAAUUAAGACAUCUUUUGUUGGACGGAGGAAGUAAUAU
Molecule: non-coding RNA, 134 nt
Organism: Brachypodium distachyon (stiff brome)
Lineage: Eukaryota; Viridiplantae; Streptophyta; Magnoliopsida; Poales; Poaceae
Source: Rfam